RNAcentral lists this transfer RNA (61 nucleotides) under Brachyrhynchus hsiaoi. RNAcentral describes it as "tRNA-Ala". The record is from RNAcentral. Lineage: Eukaryota; Metazoa; Arthropoda; Insecta; Hemiptera; Aradidae.
GGGGUUAUAGUUAAAAAUAACAUCUAAAUUGCAAUUAGAAAGUACUAUAAAGUUAUCCUCG